This 245-nucleotide ribosomal RNA is filed under the name uncultured bacterium. RNAcentral describes it as "partial 16S ribosomal RNA". It matches the Rfam family "Bacterial small subunit ribosomal RNA", at positions 524 to 768 of the family's 1533-position model. The record is from RNAcentral.
UACGGAGGGUGCAAGCGUUGUUCGGAAUUACUGGGCGUAAAGCGCGUGUAGGCGGACUCAGAAGUCGGGUGUGAAAGCCCCGGGCUUAACUCGGGAAGUGCGCUCGAAACCAUGAGUCUUGAGGUCCGGAGGGGAUCGGGGAAUUCCUGGUGUAGAGGUGAAAUUCGUAGAUAUCAGGAGGAACACCGGCGGCGAAGGCGCCGAUCUGGACGGAUUCUGACGCUGAGACGCGAAAGCGUGGGUAG